GGCCCUAUAGCUCAAUGGAUAGAGCACCGGCCUUCUAAGCCGGCUAUGAUGGUUCGAUUCCGUCUAGGGUCA
RNAcentral lists this transfer RNA (72 nucleotides) under Treponema sp. RNAcentral's name for it is "tRNA-Arg". It matches the Rfam family "tRNA". Rfam says of the family: Transfer RNA (tRNA) molecules are approximately 80 nucleotides in length. Lineage: Bacteria; Pseudomonadati; Spirochaetota; Spirochaetia; Treponematales; Treponemataceae. The record is from RNAcentral. RNAcentral also lists the same sequence under 1 other name.